RNAcentral lists this ribosomal RNA (492 nucleotides) under uncultured bacterium. RNAcentral's name for it is "partial 16S ribosomal RNA". It matches the Rfam family "Bacterial small subunit ribosomal RNA", at positions 29 to 507 of the family's 1533-position model. The record is from RNAcentral.
AGUGAACGCUGGCGGUAGGCCUAACACAUGCAAGUCGAACGGCAGCACAGUAAGAGCUUGCUCUUACGGGUGGCGAGUGGCGGACGGGUGAGGAAUACAUCGGAAUCUACUUUUUCGUGGGGGAUAACGUAGGGAAACUUACGCUAAUACCGCAUACGACCUACGGGUGAAAGCAGGGGAUCUUCGGACCUUGCGCGAUUGUAUGAGCCGAUGUCGGAUUAGCUAGUUGGCGGGGUAAAGGCCCACCAAGGCGACGAUCCGUAGCUGGUCUGAGAGGAUGAUCAGCCACACUGGAACUGAGACACGGUCCAGACUCCUACGGGAGGCAGCAGUGGGGAAUAUUGGACAAUGGGCGCAAGCCUGAUCCAGCCAUACCGCGUGGGUGAAGAAGGCCUUCGGGUUGUAAAGCCCUUUUGUUGGGAAAGAAAAGCAGCAGGUUAAUACCUCGCUGUUCUGACGGUACCCAAAGAAUAAGCACCGGCUAACUUCGUG